Molecule: ribosomal RNA, 253 nt
Filed under: uncultured bacterium
Lineage: Bacteria
Description: partial 16S ribosomal RNA
Rfam family: Bacterial small subunit ribosomal RNA
Source: RNAcentral
UACAGAGGGUGCAAGCGUUGUUCGGAAUUACUGGGCGUAAAGCGCAUGUAGGCGGCGCGGUAAGUCCUGUGUGAAAGCCCCGGGCUCAACCCGGGAAGUGCGCAGGAUACCGCAGUGCUUGAGUGACGGAGAGGAUGGCGGAAUACCCGGUGUAGAGGUGAAAUGCGUAGAUAUCGGGUGGAACACCGGUGGCGAAGGCGGCGACCUGGGUAGAUACUGACGCUGAGGUGCGAAAGCGUGGGGAGCAAACAGG